GAAUAGCACAAUCGCCUGGCGGAGAACCCCCUCACACCCCUAUCAUCCAAUAAAUAGAAAAAUCAAUUCAAAAGUGCCAUUUCACGAAAAUCAGCCCCCCCCCCUUGCCUUCACAUCGUUCCGGCGUCCCUGAUCCAGGUGCUAUAUUUUAACGUAUUUGUUACCAGAUUAUUAUUAUGAUUAUUAUUAUCGUUACCAAUGAGAGGUUUUUUCGAAACUUUACAAAGUAUUUGACAGUACUAAUUCCAUGGAUAUGCGCUCACAUGGUAUACUAAAAUACGUGAUGUGCGUUGAAGC
This is a non-coding RNA of Paramuricea clavata, 297 nucleotides long. Lineage: Eukaryota; Metazoa; Cnidaria; Anthozoa; Malacalcyonacea; Plexauridae. The record is from the annotation of a GenBank genome assembly.